This 513-nucleotide ribosomal RNA is filed under the name uncultured bacterium. RNAcentral describes it as "partial 16S ribosomal RNA". It matches the Rfam family "Bacterial small subunit ribosomal RNA", at positions 28 to 507 of the family's 1533-position model. The record is from RNAcentral.
GACGAACGCUGGCGGCGUGCUUAACACAUGCAAGUCGAACGAAAAGAGGGAAAGAGCUUGCUCUUUCCGGAAUUGAGUGGCAAACGGGUGAGUAACACGUAAACAACCUGCCUUCAGGAUGGGGACAACAGACGGAAACGACUGCUAAUACCGAAUAAGUUCCAAGGGCCGCAUGGCCCAUGGAAGAAAAGGUGGCCUCUACCUGUAAGCUAUCGCCUGAAGAGGGGUUUGCGUCUGAUUAGCUGGUUGGAGGGGUAACGGCCCACCAAGGCGACGAUCAGUAGCCGGUCUGAGAGGAUGAACGGCCACACUGGAACUGAGACACGGUCCAGACUCCUACGGGAGGCAGCAGUGGGGAAGCUUCCGCAAUGGGCGAAAGCCUGACGGAGCAACGCCGCGUGAGUGAUGACGGCCUUCGGGUUGUAAAACUCUGUGAUCCGGGACGAAAAGGCAGAGUGCGAAGAACAAACUGCAUUGACGGUACCGGAAAAGCAAGCCACGGCUAACUACGUG